Molecule: long non-coding RNA, 209 nt
Filed under: Lathyrus oleraceus (garden pea)
Lineage: Eukaryota; Viridiplantae; Streptophyta; Magnoliopsida; Fabales; Fabaceae
Description: Pisum sativum (pea) long non-coding RNA (PSAT_LNC019655)
Source: RNAcentral
UUUUCUAUGUUAUUCAUCGUGUAGAUGCCCCUCUUUCGGUUGGUCUCAAGACCUAUAUAUAAUGUCAGUCUCUCCCCUCUAUUGAAUAGUCACAACUAGGAUUUAUGACCAUCAUAAACAUAACCGUUUAUUUUAUUUAUUUGUAACGGACUUAAUAAAUACUUGUAACCGUUUAUGAUCAUUAGUGAUAUGUAACUGAUUUCUUAAUC